Molecule: RNase P RNA, 344 nt
Filed under: Lachnospiraceae bacterium
Lineage: Bacteria; Bacillati; Bacillota; Clostridia; Lachnospirales; Lachnospiraceae
Description: RNase P RNA component class A
Rfam family: Bacterial RNase P class A
About the family: Ribonuclease P (RNase P) is a ubiquitous endoribonuclease, found in archaea, bacteria and eukarya as well as chloroplasts and mitochondria. Its best characterised activity is the generation of mature 5'-ends of tRNAs by cleaving the 5'-leader elements of precursor-tRNAs.
Source: RNAcentral
CAAGUAAGACAGACAAUCGCGGCUGACGUAAGGUCAGGUGAGGAAAGUCCGGGCUUCACAGGGCAGGAUGCCGGAUAACGUCCGGUGGAGGUGACUCCAAGGCCAGUGCAACAGAAAUAAACCGCCGGAGCAAAAAGCUCCGGUAAGGGUGGAAAGGCAGUGUAAGAGACUACCGCCCGGCUGGUAACAGGCGGGGCACAUGUAAACCCCAUUCGAAGCAAGACCAAGCAGAAGCAUAUGGCGGCCCGUCAGCUUCAGGUAGGUCGCUUGAGCGCAUCGGUAACGGUGCGCCUAGAUAGAUGAUUGUCCAACGACAUAACCCGGCUUAUCGUCUUGCUUGCUGU